RNAcentral lists this ribosomal RNA (778 nucleotides) under uncultured bacterium. Its description in RNAcentral is "bacterial SSU rRNA". It matches the Rfam family "Bacterial small subunit ribosomal RNA", at positions 8 to 796 of the family's 1533-position model. The record is from RNAcentral.
AGAGUUUGAUCCUGGCUCAGAAUGAACGUUGGCGGCGUGGAUUAGGCAUGCAAGUCGAACGAGCCUCUGGGGGGUAACUCCUAGAGGAAAGUGGCGAAAGGGGCAGUAAUGUAUGGGUAACCUACCUUGAGGUCUGGGAUAGCUAUUCUAACGGAUAGGUAAUACCGGACGGCCUGAGUUGUCGGCAUCGAUGAUUUAGUAAAGGUUACGCCUCGAGAGGGGCCCAUAUGAUAUUAGCUAGUUGGUGAGGUAAUGGCUCACCAAGGCAAAGAUGUCUAGCGGGUGUGAGAGCACGACCCGCGUCACUGGCACUGAGACACUGGCCAGACUCCUACGGGAGGCUGCAGUCGAGGAUCUUCGGCAAUGGACGCAAGUCUGACCGAGCAACGCCGCGUGUGCGAUGAAGGCCUUCGGGUUGUAAAGCACUGUCGAGGGGAAACAAGCCGUAAGGUUGAGUGACCCCUGGAGGAAGCACGGGCUAAGUUCGUGCCAGCAGCCGCGGUAAGACGAACCGUGCAAACGUUAUUCGGAAUCACUGGGCUUAAAGGGCGCGUAGGCGGGUAAUCAAGUCAAUGGUGAAAGCCUCCAGCUUAACUGGAGAAGUGCCUUUGAUACUGAUUGUCUAGAGUGAGGUAGGGGCAUGUGGAACUUCCGGUGGAGCGGUGAAAUGCGUAGAUAUCGGAAGGAACGCCAGUGGCGAAAGCGAUGUGCUGGACCUUUUCUGACGCUGAGGCGCGAAAGCUAGGGGAUCAAACGGGAUUAGAUACCCUGGUAGUCC